RNAcentral lists this ribosomal RNA (497 nucleotides) under uncultured bacterium. RNAcentral's name for it is "partial 16S ribosomal RNA". It matches the Rfam family "Bacterial small subunit ribosomal RNA", at positions 28 to 507 of the family's 1533-position model. The record is from RNAcentral.
GAUGAACGCUGGCGGCGUGCCUAAUACAUGCAAGUCGAGCGAACAGACGAGGAGCUUGCUCCUCUGACGUUAGCGGCGGACGGGUGAGUAACACGUGGAUAACCUACCUAUAAGACUGGGAUAACUUCGGGAAACCGGAGCUAAUACCGGAUAACAUGUUGAACCGCAUGGUUCAACAGUGAAAGACGGUUUUGCUGUCACUUAUAGAUGGAUCCGCGCCGCAUUAGCUAGUUGGUAAGGUAACGGCUUACCAAGGCAACGAUGCGUAGCCGACCUGAGAGGGUGAUCGGCCACACUGGAACUGAGACACGGUCCAGACUCCUACGGGAGGCAGCAGUAGGGAAUCUUCCGCAAUGGGCGAAAGCCUGACGGAGCAACGCCGCGUGAGUGAAGAAGGUCUUCGGAUCGUAAAACUCUGUUAUUAGGGAAGAACAAAUGUGUAAGUAACUAUGCACGUCUUGACGGUACCUAAUCAGAAAGACACGGCUAACUACGUG